This is a non-coding RNA of Acanthosepion pharaonis, 99 nucleotides long. NCBI's taxonomy places the organism in Eukaryota, Metazoa, Mollusca, Cephalopoda, Sepiida, Sepiidae. The record is from the annotation of a GenBank genome assembly.
CGCUGAAACACUGGUUCUUGUACAAUCAUUGAAGCUAAGCAAUGUUGAGCCUGGUCAGUACCUAGAUAGGUGACCACUUGGGAAGACCAGAUGCUGUAA